This is a long non-coding RNA of Girardinichthys multiradiatus, 789 nucleotides long. RefSeq lists it as uncharacterized. NCBI's taxonomy places the organism in Eukaryota, Metazoa, Chordata, Actinopteri, Cyprinodontiformes, Goodeidae. The transcript has 2 exons. The record is from RefSeq and is a predicted model, not a curated record.
CGUACCUAGCAGCAACCAGCGACGCUUCCCGUUCAGCUCCUGCUGUUAAAAUGAGCGCACGGUAGACCGAACUAGCCGCACUUCUGAGGCCUGGGAGGCCUGCGGAGCACCCGUGUUCCCUCGCCACAGAACACCAAGAAACGCGUGUUUUCUCUACGAAAUAAAUUAAGUUUUCACAUGCUGGCAACAUGCUCCAAUAUCAAACCACCAUCUCUCUCUCGAAGAUGGCAAAGUGAUGACACAACAUUCUUUCAGUUGGUCCCCAGAGGCUGCUCCACAGAGGGUCAACGUUAUAAUUUUUUUAGAGCAAGUGUUUGAGCUGUAGGCUGUGCUUGGGCUGAUGCAGCUAUCAGUGUGGGGACAAAAGUGAGUAUUAAAUACCUGGAAUAACAAAAAAGUGACUCUUCAGUGGCCGCUCACACUGAGACAGAUUCUGCUGGAAGGUUCUUCCUGUUAAAAAGGAGCUUUACGUUCCAUUGUUAUCCCAUGCACACUCAGUAUAAGUGCUUAAUGCAAAGUUGAAGACUCAAUUGUCUCUGCCUCCAUGUGCUCGUUUAGAAGGGAUUGCUGUAAAUGUAGUGAUGUGAUGUGAUGUGACAUACUGGGUUUUUCUAUAUUUUACCAACUUGCAUAGGAAAUUGAACUUGACUAGGUUCGAAUUGUGCAAUGUAUGUAACUGACUUUGAAACUGUCUGUAUGAAUGGACAUAAUUAAAUAUACACUGCUGUCGUUUUUUUUGUGAAAUGCCUUUUUUUAUCACUGCUACAUAAAUAAACUGAAUUGAACUGA